RNAcentral lists this transfer RNA (77 nucleotides) under Pseudomonas monteilii. RNAcentral describes it as "tRNA-Val". It matches the Rfam family "tRNA". From Rfam's summary of the family: Transfer RNA (tRNA) molecules are approximately 80 nucleotides in length. The record is from RNAcentral. Lineage: Bacteria; Pseudomonadati; Pseudomonadota; Gammaproteobacteria; Pseudomonadales; Pseudomonadaceae.
AGGCACAUAGCUCAGUUGGUUAGAGCACCACCUUGACAUGGUGGGGGUCUUUGGUUCGAGUCCAAUUGUGCCUACCA